CAAGCCCAGCUCAUGAUGGGAUCACAGGGCAGAGAGCAAUUCAUUUUACCCCAGGGACCGGGGCCCCGGGGAUCAAGGCUCUUCGGGGUUUCUCGGGGAAGUGGCCAGAUCCCCUCUGAGGUUAGAGAGGGGACUUGUUUUGUUUUGCUCCACUGAGGAGCCUCUGCUGCUCAGAACCCCAAAAGGGAGAUUUGGAAGAUCCUGGAGUUUGUGGGGCGCUCCCUGCCAGAGGAGACCGUGGACCUUGUGGUUCAACACACGUCAUUCAGGGAGAUGAAAAAGAACCCUAUGACCAACUACACCACCAUCCCCCAGGAGUUCAUGGACCACAGUAUCUCCCCCUUCAUGAGGAAAGGCAUGGCUGGGGACUGGAAGACCACCUUCACCGUGGCGCAGAAUGAGCACUUCGAUGCGGACUAUGCGGAGAAGAUGGCAGGCUGCAGCCUCAGCUUCCGCUCUGAGCUGUGAGAGUGGCUCCUGGGGUCCCUCCAGAGGGAGUGUGUGAAUCUACCAUGACCAAUGGGCUCAAGAAUAAAGUAUGAUUUUUGAGUCAGGCACAGUGGCUCACGUCUGCAAUCCAAGCGAUUUGGGAGGCUGAGCUGGGAGGAUCGCAAUAGGCCACACAUUUGAGACCAGCCUGGUAAAAUAGUGAGACCUCAUCUCUACAAAGAUGUAAUGUAAUUAGCCACAUGUGCUGGCACUUACCUGUAGUCCCAGCUACUUGGGAAGCAGAGGCUGGAGGAUCAUUUCAGCCCAGGAGGUUGUGGAUACCAUGAGUUACGAUUAUGCCCAUACACUACAGCCUGGAUGACAAGCAAGACCCUCCCUCCGAAGAAAAUAAAUUUCAAUUAAAAUAAAA
Molecule: long non-coding RNA, 859 nt
Organism: Piliocolobus tephrosceles (Ugandan red Colobus)
Lineage: Eukaryota; Metazoa; Chordata; Mammalia; Primates; Cercopithecidae
Exons: 2
Source: RefSeq, a predicted model, not a curated record